ACGGGCAUGGGCGCUGCCAAAAAGCAAAAAUACAUACGCAGCAGCUGUGGGUGGGGCUGGGGGCUGGGCUGGAGUUUGCUGCGCGCCAAGCCCAACGGGCGAUCGAAAGCUAGAGAGUGUGUGUUAUUAAAAUGACAUUCAAGUGCGAACGGCGUACGGCGUACGGACGGACAGUCCAAUGCGUAGCUCAGCUCCAACCCUAUGUACAACCCCCACCCUCUUUGCCACUUGAUUUUGGCGUUUCUUGAUGCGUACGCGUGUGUGCGCAUUUAAUUUUCGACCAUUAAACUGGCCAGAGCGAGCGCGCACUAUUGCGUGCAAGCGAGCUAGCAAUAGAGCUCUAUACAUAGGAAAUUCGCGAGCAAUGCUUGGGAUUUUUUUCAAAACACAACCUGAAGCGCCGCGCUAAUAAACAAAGAGCCUGCCAGCAAUAAUAAUUGUUAAAAUUCAUAACAAAAUCAUUUCAUCAAUUCAACAUUCAAAUAAAUC
Drosophila busckii is the source of this 489-nucleotide long non-coding RNA. RefSeq lists it as uncharacterized. The record is from RefSeq and is a predicted model, not a curated record. NCBI's taxonomy places the organism in Eukaryota, Metazoa, Arthropoda, Insecta, Diptera, Drosophilidae. The transcript has 3 exons.